Long non-coding RNA from Tupaia belangeri chinensis (Chinese tree shrew), 838 nucleotides. RefSeq lists it as uncharacterized. The record is from RefSeq and is a predicted model, not a curated record. The transcript has 4 exons. Lineage: Eukaryota; Metazoa; Chordata; Mammalia; Scandentia; Tupaiidae.
UAACUGUGGCCUUUUCUCUUGGCUUUAGGGUGAUGUUUAUAAAACAAGGGGCGGUGGACAAUCUGUUCAGUUUACUGAUAUUGAGACUUUAAAACAAGAGUCGCCAAAUGGUCGAAAACGAAGAUCUUCCACUGUAGCACCUGCCCAGCCAGAUGGCGCAGAGUCUGAAUGGACCGAUGUAGAAACAAGGUGUUCUGUGGCUGUGGAGAUGCGAGCAGGAUCUCAGCUGGGGCCCGGAUAUCAGCAUCACGCACAGCCCAAACGCAAAAAGCCAUGAACCCACAGUCCCAGUAGCAGAAGAACAUUCUCAGCUGUGCUGAACUCAUAAACCAUGCCAGAAGUGGUCUUCUGACUCUCCCUCAGCUGCGCCAUGCACUGCCUGGAUCAAAGCUUCCCCUACGUUCCAAAGACAUUUGGAUUCCGCAAACUUGUAUUCUAUGCCUUGUCGUAUUUAAUAAUAGCAGAGGAAUGCCCUUUUUUUCUCUUUUGCUGUAUGAACUUUUUUUAUAAUGCUGUUUUUUGUAUGUUUCUUAUAUACUUAUAAACUCAUGGAUGCAAGUGUUUUUGUCUUGGGUGAUUAAGGAAGACUAUUUAGAUCACACUUCACUUUUUAUUGUGACUUUGCAAGUUCUGGUCUGAGUAUUUCUCAAGUUUUUAUAAAUAAAUGCUGCUAUUUAUUAGCUGCAAGAAUGCACUUUAGACAUUUGAGAAUUCACAUGUUCAAAAUAAAGAUGUCACUGACUGGCCAAUAAUAAAACCAUUUUUGGAAGUUGUUUUGAAUUUUGUAUGUGUAUAUUCGUUUUGUGCCAUUUAGAUAUGCCAAAAGAAUUGAAAUAAA